RNAcentral lists this ribosomal RNA (464 nucleotides) under Vreelandella stevensii. RNAcentral's name for it is "partial 16S ribosomal RNA". It matches the Rfam family "Bacterial small subunit ribosomal RNA", at positions 338 to 795 of the family's 1533-position model. Lineage: Bacteria; Pseudomonadati; Pseudomonadota; Gammaproteobacteria; Oceanospirillales; Halomonadaceae. The record is from RNAcentral.
CCUACGGUGGGCAGCAGUGGGGAAUAUUGGACAAUGGGCGAAAGCCUGAUCCAGCCAUGCCGCGUGUGUGAAGAAGGCCUUCGGGUUGUAAAGCACUUUCAGUGGGGAAGAAAGCCUUGGGGCUAAUACCCUCGAGGAAGGACAUCACCCACAGAAGAAGCACCGGCUAACUCCGUGCCAGCAGCCGCGGUAAUACGGAGGGUGCGAGCGUUAAUCGGAAUUACUGGGCGUAAAGCGCGCGUAGGCGGUCUGAUAAGCCGGUUGUGAAAGCCCCGGGCUCAACCUGGGAACGGCAUCCGGAACUGUCAGGCUAGAGUGCAGGAGAGGAAGGUAGAAUUCCCGGUGUAGCGGUGAAAUGCGUAGAGAUCGGGAGGAAUACCAGUGGCGAAGGCGGCCUUCUGGACUGACACUGACGCUGAGGUGCGAAAGCGUGGGUAGCAAACAGGAUUAGAUCCCCAGUAGUC